This 2902-nucleotide ribosomal RNA is filed under the name Escherichia coli. RNAcentral describes it as "bacterial LSU rRNA". It matches the Rfam family "Bacterial large subunit ribosomal RNA". The record is from RNAcentral. Lineage: Bacteria; Pseudomonadati; Pseudomonadota; Gammaproteobacteria; Enterobacterales; Enterobacteriaceae.
UUAAGCGACUAAGCGUACACGGUGGAUGCCCUGGCAGUCAGAGGCGAUGAAGGACGUGCUAAUCUGCGAUAAGCGUCGGUAAGGUGAUAUGAACCGUUAUAACCGGCGAUUUCCGAAUGGGGAAACCCAGUGUGUUUCGACACACUAUCAUUAACUGAAUCCAUAGGUUAAUGAGGCGAACCGGGGGAACUGAAACAUCUAAGUACCCCGAGGAAAAGAAAUCAACCGAGAUUCCCCCAGUAGCGGCGAGCGAACGGGGAGGAGCCCAGAGCCUGAAUCAGUGUGUGUGUUAGUGGAAGCGUCUGGAAAGGCGCGCGAUACAGGGUGACAGCCCCGUACACAAAAAUGCACAUGCUGUGAGCUCGAUGAGUAGGGCGGGACACGUGGUAUCCUGUCUGAAUAUGGGGGGACCAUCCUCCAAGGCUAAAUACUCCUGACUGACCGAUAGUGAACCAGUACCGUGAGGGAAAGGCGAAAAGAACCCCGGCGAGGGGAGUGAAAAAGAACCUGAAACCGUGUACGUACAAGCAGUGGGAGCCUCUUUUAUGGGGUGACUGCGUACCUUUUGUAUAAUGGGUCAGCGACUUAUAUUCUGUAGCAAGGUUAACCGAAUAGGGGAGCCGAAGGGAAACCGAGUCUUAACUGGGCGUUAAGUUGCAGGGUAUAGACCCGAAACCCGGUGAUCUAGCCAUGGGCAGGUUGAAGGUUGGGUAACACUAACUGGAGGACCGAACCGACUAAUGUUGAAAAAUUAGCGGAUGACUUGUGGCUGGGGGUGAAAGGCCAAUCAAACCGGGAGAUAGCUGGUUCUCCCCGAAAGCUAUUUAGGUAGCGCCUCGUGAAUUCAUCUCCGGGGGUAGAGCACUGUUUCGGCAAGGGGGUCAUCCCGACUUACCAACCCGAUGCAAACUGCGAAUACCGGAGAAUGUUAUCACGGGAGACACACGGCGGGUGCUAACGUCCGUCGUGAAGAGGGAAACAACCCAGACCGCCAGCUAAGGUCCCAAAGUCAUGGUUAAGUGGGAAACGAUGUGGGAAGGCCCAGACAGCCAGGAUGUUGGCUUAGAAGCAGCCAUCAUUUAAAGAAAGCGUAAUAGCUCACUGGUCGAGUCGGCCUGCGCGGAAGAUGUAACGGGGCUAAACCAUGCACCGAAGCUGCGGCAGCGACGCUUAUGCGUUGUUGGGUAGGGGAGCGUUCUGUAAGCCUGUGAAGGUGUGCUGUGAGGCAUGCUGGAGGUAUCAGAAGUGCGAAUGCUGACAUAAGUAACGAUAAAGCGGGUGAAAAGCCCGCUCGCCGGAAGACCAAGGGUUCCUGUCCAACGUUAAUCGGGGCAGGGUGAGUCGACCCCUAAGGCGAGGCCGAAAGGCGUAGUCGAUGGGAAACAGGUUAAUAUUCCUGUACUUGGUGUUACUGCGAAGGGGGGACGGAGAAGGCUAUGUUGGCCGGGCGACGGUUGUCCCGGUUUAAGCGUGUAGGCUGGUUUUCCAGGCAAAUCCGGAAAAUCAAGGCUGAGGCGUGAUGACGAGGCACUACGGUGCUGAAGCAACAAAUGCCCUGCUUCCAGGAAAAGCCUCUAAGCAUCAGGUAACAUCAAAUCGUACCCCAAACCGACACAGGUGGUCAGGUAGAGAAUACCAAGGCGCUUGAGAGAACUCGGGUGAAGGAACUAGGCAAAAUGGUGCCGUAACUUCGGGAGAAGGCACGCUGAUAUGUAGGUGAAGCGACUUGCUCGUGGAGCUGAAAUCAGUCGAAGAUACCAGCUGGCUGCAACUGUUUAUUAAAAACACAGCACUGUGCAAACACGAAAGUGGACGUAUACGGUGUGACGCCUGCCCGGUGCCGGAAGGUUAAUUGAUGGGGUCAGCGCAAGCGAAGCUCUUGAUCGAAGCCCCGGUAAACGGCGGCCGUAACUAUAACGGUCCUAAGGUAGCGAAAUUCCUUGUCGGGUAAGUUCCGACCUGCACGAAUGGCGUAAUGAUGGCCAGGCUGUCUCCACCCGAGACUCAGUGAAAUUGAACUCGCUGUGAAGAUGCAGUGUACCCGCGGCAAGACGGAAAGACCCCGUGAACCUUUACUAUAGCUUGACACUGAACAUUGAGCCUUGAUGUGUAGGAUAGGUGGGAGGCUUAGAAGUGUGGACGCCAGUCUGCAUGGAGCCGACCUUGAAAUACCACCCUUUAAUGUUUGAUGUUCUAACGUUGACCCGUAAUCCGGGUUGCGGACAGUGUCUGGUGGGUAGUUUGACUGGGGCGGUCUCCUCCUAAAGAGUAACGGAGGAGCACGAAGGUUGGCUAAUCCUGGUCGGACAUCAGGAGGUUAGUGCAAUGGCAUAAGCCAGCUUGACUGCGAGCGUGACGGCGCGAGCAGGUGCGAAAGCAGGUCAUAGUGAUCCGGUGGUUCUGAAUGGAAGGGCCAUCGCUCAACGGAUAAAAGGUACUCCGGGGAUAACAGGCUGAUACCGCCCAAGAGUUCAUAUCGACGGCGGUGUUUGGCACCUCGAUGUCGGCUCAUCACAUCCUGGGGCUGAAGUAGGUCCCAAGGGUAUGGCUGUUCGCCAUUUAAAGUGGUACGCGAGCUGGGUUUAGAACGUCGUGAGACAGUUCGGUCCCUAUCUGCCGUGGGCGCUGGAGAACUGAGGGGGGCUGCUCCUAGUACGAGAGGACCGGAGUGGACGCAUCACUGGUGUUCGGGUUGUCAUGCCAAUGGCACUGCCCGGUAGCUAAAUGCGGAAGAGAUAAGUGCUGAAAGCAUCUAAGCACGAAACUUGCCCCGAGAUGAGUUCUCCCUGACCCUUUAAGGGUCCUGAAGGAACGUUGAAGACGACGACGUUGAUAGGCCGGGUGUGUAAGCGCAGCGAUGCGUUGAGCUAACCGGUACUAAUGAACCGUGAGGCUUAACCUU